UUAAAAGUAGUGAACCCCCAACUAAAAAUACAAAAAUUAGCCAGGCGUGGUGGCACGUGCCUGUAAGCCCAGCUACUCGGGAGGCUGAGGCAGGAGAACUGCUUCAACCUGGGGGAUGGACGUUGCAGAUAGCCGCGAUCACGCUGCUGCACUCCAGCUGGGGCAACAGAGCGAUACUCCAUCUCAAAUAAUAAUAAUAAUAAUAAUAAUAAUAAUAAUAAUAAUAAUAAUAAAAACUGCUCAAUACCUGCGUGAUGGGAUCCGUACUCCAAACCUCAGAUCACGCAGUAUUCCCACAUAACAAAUCUGCACAUGUACACCCUGUAUCUAAAACAAGAGUUGAAAUUAGCAAAACGAGUGUGCCCUUGUCCCAGGCCUUCUCCCAGGGCCUGGGAAUGAGGAAUCUAAACCACGGUGAAGCCACCUCUGCUAAUGAUGUUUGUUUUUUACCUUAAAUGUUACUUUUUUUUUUUUUUUUUUUUUUUUUUGGCAAAAGGAAUGUGAGACAGUCUUCUUCAGGAAGGUAGUCCGUGUCCCCCUCCAUCAGUGCCUUCAGGUGCUGGGCAUUUCAGUUUACAGCCCUGCUCCCUCUGCGUCCUUGCUGCCUGUAGGUCCUGGCUCAGUCCUGGUGACUUCCAGGUCAUUUCCUCCCUCGCCCUGACCAUGCCAGGCCCAGCCUCUUUCACUCAAGCCAGGGCUUCCUCUGGGCCAGUCUGCGCCAGGCUUCUCCGUGUGCCCCCCGCCGCCUGCCCUCCCGCCGCUGUCUUAGCCGCACCCCAGGACCUCCCAGGGCGCUCAGCAGUUCCGCCUCUGUUUCCAGCAGCUUCUCCACACCUCCGUCUUCCCACCGUGCAGCCUGGACGCCAGGCCUGUCGCUUGCAGCCCUCUCGGGACCUUCUGGCCUCCCGGGGAUUCUUGCACAAGCUGACCAUUUCCUUAUCCUCGCAACUGCAAAAGUCUCCUACUGAACAAACUGAAUGAAGGAGGAUUUGUGUGGAAUAAUACAGCUGAACAGCUGAAAGCUCCUGUUCAUCUGCCGUGUAUGGGUAUUAUCAUUUACUGGUGGGUGGUUUUCUGAGAGAGAUGGGACUUCUUAUUUUAAUUAAAUUAAUUAAUUAAUUAAUUUAAGUAGAGACAGAGUCUCGCUCUGUCCCCCAGGCUAUAGUUCAG
Molecule: long non-coding RNA, 1170 nt
Filed under: Pan paniscus (pygmy chimpanzee)
Lineage: Eukaryota; Metazoa; Chordata; Mammalia; Primates; Hominidae
Description: lncRNA (ENSPPAG00000044668.1)
Source: RNAcentral